UUCCGGUUGAUCCUGCCGGACCUGACUGCUAUCGGAUUGAUACUAAGCCAUGUUAGUCUUUGUAGUAAUACAAGGCAUACGGCUCAGUAACACGUAGUCAACCUAACUUAUGGACGGGGAUAACUUCGGGAAACUGAUGAUAAUACCCGAUAGGUCAUUAUGCCUGGAAUGGUUUAUGACUAAAAUGAAUUUCGCCAUAGGAUGGGACUGCGGCCUAUCAGCUUGUUGGUGAGGUAAUGGCCCACCAAGGCUAUAACAGGUACGGGCUCUGAGAGGAGUAGCCCGGAGAUGGGUACUGAGACACGAAUCCAGACCCUACGGGGUGCAGCAGGCGCGAAAACUUGGCAAUGCGAGAAAUCGUGACCAGGGAACUCCAAGUGCAUCGGGUAAGACCGAUGCUUUUCUUGACUCUUCAAAGGUCUUGGAAUAAGGGGUGGGUAAGGACGGUGCCAGCCGCCGCGGUAAUACCGGCGCCUCAAGUGGUAGUCGCUUUUAUUGGGCCUAAAACGUCCGUAGCCGGUUUGGUACAUUCGUGGGUAAAUCAAGGCGCUCAACGUCUUGAAUUCUGCGAGCACGGCCAGACUUGGGACCGGGUGAGGUGUGGGGUACUCUCAGGGUAGGGGUAAAAUCCUGUCAUCCUGAGAGGACCACCUGUUGCGAAGGCGCCACACUAGAACGGAUCCGACGGUCAGGGACGAAGCCUAGGGGCACGAACCGGAUUAGAUACCCGGGUAGUCCUAGGUGUAAACGCUGUGGACUUGAUGUUGGGAGUGCUCCGA
This 779-nucleotide ribosomal RNA is filed under the name uncultured marine archaeon. Its description in RNAcentral is "bacterial SSU rRNA". It matches the Rfam family "Archaeal small subunit ribosomal RNA", at positions 1 to 788 of the family's 1478-position model. The record is from RNAcentral.